GGGUUGUGAGGUUAAGCGACUAAGCGUACACGGUGGAUGCCCUGGCAGUCAGAGGCGAUGAAGGACGUGCUAAUCUGCGAUAAGCGUCGGUAAGGUGAUAUGAACCGUUAUAACCGGCGAUUUCCGAAUGGGGAAACCCAGUGUGUUUCGACACACUAUCAUUAACUGAAUCCAUAGGUUAAUGAGGCGAACCGGGGGAACUGAAACAUCUAAGUACCCCGAGGAAAAGAAAUCAACCGAGAUUCCCCCAGUAGCGGCGAGCGAACGGGGAGCAGCCCAGAGCCUGAAUCAGUGUGUGUGUUAGUGGAAGCGUCUGGAAAGGCGCGCGAUACAGGGUGACAGCCCCGUACACAAAAAUGCACAUGCUGUGAGCUCGAUGAGUAGGGCGGGACACGUGGUAUCCUGUCUGAAUAUGGGGGGACCAUCCUCCAAGGCUAAAUACUCCUGACUGACCGAUAGUGAACCAGUACCGUGAGGGAAAGGCGAAAAGAACCCCGGCGAGGGGAGUGAAAAAGAACCUGAAACCGUGUACGUACAAGCAGUGGGAGCACGCUUAGGCGUGUGACUGCGUACCUUUUGUAUAAUGGGUCAGCGACUUAUAUUCUGUAGCAAGGUUAACCGAAUAGGGGAGCCGAAGGGAAACCGAGUCUUAACUGGGCGUUAAGUUGCAGGGUAUAGACCCGAAACCCGGUGAUCUAGCCAUGGGCAGGUUGAAGGUUGGGUAACACUAACUGGAGGACCGAACCGACUAAUGUUGAAAAAUUAGCGGAUGACUUGUGGCUGGGGGUGAAAGGCCAAUCAAACCGGGAGAUAGCUGGUUCUCCCCGAAAGCUAUUUAGGUAGCGCCUCGUGAAUUCAUCUCCGGGGGUAGAGCACUGUUUCGGCAAGGGGGUCAUCCCGACUUACCAACCCGAUGCAAACUGCGAAUACCGGAGAAUGUUAUCACGGGAGACACACGGCGGGUGCUAACGUCCGUCGUGAAGAGGGAAACAACCCAGACCGCCAGCUAAGGUCCCAAAGUCAUGGUUAAGUGGGAAACGAUGUGGGAAGGCCCAGACAGCCAGGAUGUUGGCUUAGAAGCAGCCAUCAUUUAAAGAAAGCGUAAUAGCUCACUGGUCGAGUCGGCCUGCGCGGAAGAUGUAACGGGGCUAAACCAUGCACCGAAGCUGCGGCAGCGACGCUUAUGCGUUGUUGGGUAGGGGAGCGUUCUGUAAGCCUGUGAAGGUGUACUGUGAGGUAUGCUGGAGGUAUCAGAAGUGCGAAUGCUGACAUAAGUAACGAUAAAGCGGGUGAAAAGCCCGCUCGCCGGAAGACCAAGGGUUCCUGUCCAACGUUAAUCGGGGCAGGGUGAGUCGACCCCUAAGGCGAGGCCGAAAGGCGUAGUCGAUGGGAAACAGGUUAAUAUUCCUGUACUUGGUGUUACUGCGAAGGGGGGACGGAGAAGGCUAUGUUGGCCGGGCGACGGUUGUCCCGGUUUAAGCGUGUAGGCUGGUUUUCCAGGCAAAUCCGGAAAAUCAAGGCUGAGGCGUGAUGACGAGGCACUACGGUGCUGAAGCAACAAAUGCCCUGCUUCCAGGAAAAGCCUCUAAGCAUCAGGUAACAUCAAAUCGUACCCCAAACCGACACAGGUGGUCAGGUAGAGAAUACCAAGGCGCUUGAGAGAACUCGGGUGAAGGAACUAGGCAAAAUGGUGCCGUAACUUCGGGAGAAGGCACGCUGAUAUGUAGGUGAAGUCCCUCGCGGAUGAAGCUGAAAUCAGUCGAAGAUACCAGCUGGCUGCAACUGUUUAUUAAAAACACAGCACUGUGCAAACACGAAAGUGGACGUAUACGGUGUGACGCCUGCCCGGUGCCGGAAGGUUAAUUGAUGGGGUUAGCGCAAGCGAAGCUCUUGAUCGAAGCCCCGGUAAACGGCGGCCGUAACUAUAACGGUCCUAAGGUAGCGAAAUUCCUUGUCGGGUAAGUUCCGACCUGCACGAAUGGCGUAAUGAUGGCCAGGCUGUCUCCACCCGAGACUCAGUGAAAUUGAACUCGCUGUGAAGAUGCAGUGUACCCGCGGCAAGACGGAAAGACCCCGUGAACCUUUACUAUAGCUUGACACUGAACAUUGAGCCUUGAUGUGUAGGAUAGGUGGGAGGCUUUGAAGUGUGGACGCCAGUCUGCAUGGAGCCGACCUUGAAAUACCACCCUUUAAUGUUUGAUGUUCUAACGUUGACCCGUAAUCCGGGUUGCGGACAGUGUCUGGUGGGUAGUUUGACUGGGGCGGUCUCCUCCUAAAGAGUAACGGAGGAGCACGAAGGUUGGCUAAUCCUGGUCGGACAUCAGGAGGUUAGUGCAAUGGCAUAAGCCAGCUUGACUGCGAGCGUGACGGCGCGAGCAGGUGCGAAAGCAGGUCAUAGUGAUCCGGUGGUUCUGAAUGGAAGGGCCAUCGCUCAACGGAUAAAAGGUACUCCGGGGAUAACAGGCUGAUACCGCCCAAGAGUUCAUAUCGACGGCGGUGUUUGGCACCUCGAUGUCGGCUCAUCACAUCCUGGGGCUGAAGUAGGUCCCAAGGGUAUGGCUGUUCGCCAUUUAAAGUGGUACGCGAGCUGGGUUUAGAACGUCGUGAGACAGUUCGGUCCCUAUCUGCCGUGGGCGCUGGAGAACUGAGGGGGGCUGCUCCUAGUACGAGAGGACCGGAGUGGACGCAUCACUGGUGUUCGGGUUGUCAUGCCAAUGGCACUGCCCGGUAGCUAAAUGCGGAAGAGAUAAGUGCUGAAAGCAUCUAAGCACGAAACUUGCCCCGAGAUGAGUUCUCCCUGACCCUUUAAGGGUCCUGAAGGAACGUUGAAGACGACGACGUUGAUAGGCCGGGUGUGUAAGCGCAGCGAUGCGUUGAGCUAACCGGUACUAAUGAACCGUGAGGCUUAACCUUACAACGCCGAAG
This 2925-nucleotide ribosomal RNA is filed under the name Escherichia coli. Its description in RNAcentral is "23S ribosomal RNA". It matches the Rfam family "Bacterial large subunit ribosomal RNA". The record is from RNAcentral. Lineage: Bacteria; Pseudomonadati; Pseudomonadota; Gammaproteobacteria; Enterobacterales; Enterobacteriaceae.